Molecule: non-coding RNA, 72 nt
Organism: Phrynosoma platyrhinos (Desert horned lizard)
Lineage: Eukaryota; Metazoa; Chordata; Lepidosauria; Squamata; Phrynosomatidae
Source: the annotation of a GenBank genome assembly
AUCUGCGUGGCAUAGUGGUUUGAGUGUUGGACUAUGACUCUGAAGACCAGGUUUCGAAUCCUUACUCAGCCA